Molecule: non-coding RNA, 72 nt
Organism: Ictidomys tridecemlineatus (thirteen-lined ground squirrel)
Lineage: Eukaryota; Metazoa; Chordata; Mammalia; Rodentia; Sciuridae
Source: Rfam
GGGAUUGUAGCUCAGUGGUAGAGCACUUGCCUAGAAUGUGUGAGGCACUGGGUUUGAUUCUCAGCACUGACA